CCUACGGGUGGCAGCAGUGGGGAAUAUUGGACAAUGGGCGAAAGCCUGAUCCAGCCAUGCCGCGUGUGUGAAGAAGGCCUUCGGGUUGUAAAGCACUUUCAGUGGGGAAGAAAGCCUUGGGGCUAAUACCCUCGAGGAAGGACAUCACCCACAGAAGAAGCGCCGGCUAACUCCGUGCCAGCAGCCGCGGUAAUACGGAGGGUGCGAGCGUUAAUCGGAAUUACUGGGCGUAAAGCGCGCGUAGGCGGUCUGAUAAGCCGGUUGUGAAAGCCCCGGGCUCAACCUGGGAACGGCAUCCGGAACUGUCAGGCUAGAGUGCAGGAGAGGAAGGUAGAAUUCCCGGUGUAGCGGUGAAAUGCGUAGAGAUCGGGAGGAAUACCAGUGGCGAAGGCGGCCUUCUGGACUGACACUGACGCUGAGGUGCGAAAGCGUGGGUAGCAAACAGGAUUAGAUACCCCGGUAGUC
Molecule: ribosomal RNA, 465 nt
Filed under: Vreelandella stevensii
Lineage: Bacteria; Pseudomonadati; Pseudomonadota; Gammaproteobacteria; Oceanospirillales; Halomonadaceae
Description: partial 16S ribosomal RNA
Rfam family: Bacterial small subunit ribosomal RNA
Source: RNAcentral